UCCUCUUAGGAGCCUUCUUUCCACAGUAUUUUCCAGGUGGCAAGUUCCCUUGCUCAUCACCCCUUGUUGUUGUGGAUUUGAUCUAUAAAUUCUCUCAACCAGCCUCCCACUAACUGACGCUGGGUGAACAGAACUUCUCCAUUUUCUUCGUGACUGAUGCCAAAGACAACGGUGUUUAAGGCUAGUGGGUUCCUCUCUGAUAAGAGCAGACUAACCAUGGUAUUGAAUCCUAUCAGUUAAAUAGAGUUGAGAGACCAGAAGGGGGAGCUCUCACACCCUGGGACAAUAGUAGAGCCCAACAGGAAGAAUAAAGAGUCCUUUUCUUUGCUGGCAAGGACACGACCAAUGAAAAGUCGUGGACUCUAUUUACUGCAAGCCUCCCAAUUUCCUUUUCCUCUCAAUAAAAAUGUUCCUUCCCUUGGUGUGGGGAAGACUUGGCAGUGACUGGCCGUGGUUGCAGACCUUAAACUGUGAUUCUUUGUUGAUCCCCAGUAAAUCCGUCUUUGCAGGAGACAUAUCUGGCAGUCUGUCUCAGGUCAACAAAGCCCAUUCCUUUUUCCUCCACUUCCUGUCACUCUGAUGCUAAUUCUCUCUGGAUCGUGCAAGUCUUUGUGGUUGUCCAUGUGUGCCCACAUGGUGAGGUCUGUGAGGUUUUUUUAUAACUGUCUGGAGGUUUUUGAGUUUGCUCUCUUUAUUUUCCUGUCUGAAUUACGGAUGAAUUAAGGGAGAUUCAUCCACUAUUCCAAAACUAUACCAUCACUGCCCAAGUUUUGCCAUAUCUGCCCCCCCCACCCUGCCUCUGCUCCUUUUUUUUAAAUCGCAGUUUCCAGCCCAUUAAGUUAAUUAGUAAGCUUCUAAUGGGUGGAGACCUGUCAUUUGAAAAGCAAUAGUCUGUGUAGUCUGUGGCUGUGUAUUGUGGAAUUUAUUGAAAUACUGUACUUGCAUACUGUACCUGUGUGUAAAUGACUGUGCUUGUGUCUAUCUCUCUUUGGAGAUGUUCUGUUCACUCCUUCCACUCUCCCCAUUCUCAUCAAUCUGAUUUUCAAAAAAAUCUAGAAAACUUGCGUUAAUAUGUGUCCAUAGAUUAAACAAGACCAACAGAAAUGUAUACCUCAACUAUAUUGUUUUAAACCCACUAAUCUCCACAGUGUCUCUUUUAUGAAACAUUUUUUGUUUUUAUUGAAUAAACAUUGCUUUACUUUGAAGGAUGUUAAAACGUUCAAAGAAAUAUAUUUGUUAUUGUUGUAUUUAUUUUAAGAAUUUUAUAUUAUAUCCUCUUAACAAAUAUCCAUAGGAAAAAUUUCUCUUGUGUCUCAGUAUCAAGAAUUGUCAAGUGUUACUAUUAUCUGAAAAACAACUCAUAAUUUAUGAGUAUUUUUAGGAUAUAAAUUUUUAAGAUGUAUUCCUGAUUCUUAAGCUUUGACACUUUGAUUAAAGUCAGAUAUUUUAAUAUCAUUGUAUUAAUGUGAAUACUCCUGUAAAUUUGCCUGCUUUUAUAGUACUAUUCAACAAUGUUCAUUCUUCAUUUAUUCUUUUUCUCAUCUACUUGUGAGACUUUUCUGUCUGAUGCUGAUAAUAAAAACCUUCAAUGAAGUACUA
This is a long non-coding RNA of Bubalus bubalis (water buffalo), 1599 nucleotides long. RefSeq lists it as uncharacterized. The transcript is spliced from 3 exons. The record is from RefSeq and is a predicted model, not a curated record. Lineage: Eukaryota; Metazoa; Chordata; Mammalia; Artiodactyla; Bovidae.